GAUGAACGCUAGCGAUAGGCUUAACACAUGCAAGUCGAGGGGCAGCAUGGUCUUAGCUUGCUAAGACUGAUGGCGACCGGCGCACGGGUGCGUAACGCGUAUGCAACUUGCCUCACAGAGGGGGAUAACCCGUCGAAAGACGGACUAAUACCGCGUACACUCUAUGUUGGGCAUCCAAUGUAGAGGAAAUGAAAUUCGCUGUGAGAUAGGCAUGCGUCCCAUUAGCUAGUUGGUGAGGUAACGGCUCACCAAGGCGACGAUGGGUAGGGGAACUGAGAGGUUGAACCCCCACACUGGUACUGAGACACGGACCAGACUCCUACGGGAGGCAGCAGUGAGGAAUAUUGGUCAAUGGGCGAGAGCCUGAACCAGCCAAGUCGCGUGAAGGAUGACUGUCUUAUGGAUUGUAAACUUCUUUUAUACGGGAAUAACAAGAGUCACGUGUGACUCCCUGCAUGUACCGUAUGAAUA
RNAcentral lists this ribosomal RNA (471 nucleotides) under Porphyromonas sp. oral taxon 279. RNAcentral's name for it is "bacterial SSU rRNA". It matches the Rfam family "Bacterial small subunit ribosomal RNA", at positions 28 to 488 of the family's 1533-position model. The record is from RNAcentral. Lineage: Bacteria; Pseudomonadati; Bacteroidota; Bacteroidia; Bacteroidales; Porphyromonadaceae.